Molecule: ribosomal RNA, 440 nt
Filed under: uncultured bacterium
Lineage: Bacteria
Description: partial 16S ribosomal RNA
Rfam family: Bacterial small subunit ribosomal RNA
Source: RNAcentral
CCUACGGGAGGCAGCAGUGGGGGAUAUUGCACAAUGGGGGAAACCCUGAUGCAGCGACGCCGCGUGGGUGAAGAAGCGCCUCGGCGCGUAAAGCCCUGUCAGCAGGGAAGAAAAUGACGGUACCUGAAGAAGAAGCCCCGGCUAACUACGUGCCAGCAGCCGCGGUAAUACGUAGGGGGCAAGCGUUAUCCGGAUUUACUGGGUGUAAAGGGGGCGCAGACGGGGAUGCAAGCCAGGAGUGAAAGCCCGGGGCCCAACCCCGGGACUGCUCUUGGUACUGCGUGGCUAGAGUGCAGGAGGGGCAGGCGGAAUUCCUGGUGUAGCGGUGAAAUGCGUAGAUAUCAGGAGGAACACCGGUGGCGAAGGCGGCCUGCUGGACUGCAACUGACGUUGAGGCCCGAAAGCGUGGGGAGCAAACAGGAUUAGAUACCCCAGUAGUC